RNAcentral lists this long non-coding RNA (1561 nucleotides) under Triticum aestivum (bread wheat). RNAcentral's name for it is "long non-coding RNA (TAES_LNC025640)". Lineage: Eukaryota; Viridiplantae; Streptophyta; Magnoliopsida; Poales; Poaceae. The record is from RNAcentral.
CCGUAAAUCUACUGUAUGAUCAAUCAAAACACAUUUUGUCCAAAGUCCAAACUUAAUGGUAAACAAGAGGCUAAUCUUGCUAUUUUUGUUUGUUAUGGGGUUUGCACUUUCUGUUUCCUUGAACAGUUUACAGUUCAUCUAAUUUACAUUUUUAUGUUAACUUUAGCAAUUAAUUUACCUCAAACAAGGUAAUUAAUAUGAUAAUUAUCCCCUGUGUAUACCGCAAGUAAGUAACUUACUCUAAUUAUGUUAAGAAAUUAGAAUGUUUGUGACCGACUGUUUAAUAAGUUGCUCUUUUCACAAGGUGUGAUAUUGUGGCAUAUUUACCCUGGAGCUAGCAUAUAUAUGGAGCUGACUUUGUUCCUGGAGGUGAGCAUAUAUUGUUGAUCUUAUCAUGUCAAUUGCAGUAGUUCCUUGAUUCACAAUUUAUAUAGUGUGGUAUAGUGGUUAUAUUUGGAGGUUUAUCCCUAUGAAAUAAUCACCGCAAGGUGAGUACUUUCUGCAGCUAAUGUGUUAUGCAUAAGCUCAAUGUGUUUGCUCAAUUAGCUACUGCUCAAUUAAAAUUGGUGACCUUCCAUUGAUGAUAGGUUUAGAAAUUAUGCAUUGAGUAAUUGGAUCUGACCUGGAGUACUUGGUUAAUUCAGUGAUGUUUUAACAAAAUUUUAACUGAAUUAUUUUGGGCAAUGGAGUACUGAAUUUUAACUGAGUAACUUGCACUUGCAUAUGCACUAGACCACUUGUAAAUUCUUUGGCUCCUCUUUAAUCUGGUGCAAUUACUUAACUGACCAUAAUAGCCUUGACACUUGUAAGUAACCAUAUCAUUCAAACAUCCAAUUAAAUCUAUUUUACUCCAUUUCCUGAGAUGAAAUUGUGAUGAUGGGAGUGACAUUAAACAACUUGAACAUAUAAUUGUGCAUGUACUCCAUUGUUAUAUACUAAUCCAUCUUGUCUUUGCCCCAUGUUAACAUUCAAAUUGUUAAUUGCAUUCAAAGUGUUAAUUGUAGGAGCAGACACAGAGGAGGAAUCUGCUACCUCAAAGCAGUUGAUCGACGCCGGGAGGCUGGGUACAUGAUGUCGGAGGCUGCCGGGAGGGUGGUGACGAGCUACCGAAGAGAUGAGUUCUGGCUCUCCUCGAUGCCAGGACGAGGCGCUGCUGCCGAUCGGACAUGGACUCGAUUGAUUUUGAUUUGAAAUAUGACGGGUUGUAAUGUAAAAUGCACUUCAGUUCAAAAUUUCCUCCCCUUGCGAGAGGUAUUCUUGGACGGAGGGAGUAGAAGAUUAGUUAUAGGAUUUUGUUUUAUUUCUGUGCAAUUUUCUUAUUAUUGGAUACUUGUAAAUACAUGGUAAUAUUCUUGCUAUAAUAAAAAUUAUGGUUCUAUUUCAUUUUUUGUUUUUAAAUUAUUUUUCCUUAUAGGUUGUUUUUUGUAAAUUUGUAUUUUUUGUUUACCAAAUAUACUAUUAGUGGCGCAUUUCAGCCUUUAUUGGUGGCGCACCUAGCUUUUUAGCUAGUGGCGCACCUCUAAGGUUACUAGUGGCGCACUUGGCUUUAUUACUAGUGGGG